UUAAUCUUUGAAAAUUUGAAGAAAUGGAAGUGUGGAGAGAAAGGGAAGGGGAAGGGAAAUUUAUAAAAUUUCAAAAUCGUUGAAUUCGUGCCAAGUGCCGAAAUCCGGUGAAGAGAGAGAAGGAAAAGAUUCUUGGUACAAAAAAUGAGGGAGGAAAAUUUACUCCAUCAGCGGCAGCGACAGAGCUCUACCCAAGGUGGCAGAGCCCAACUGGUGCACAUAGGCCUGCUGCCGCGCACGUAAGGCCUAGGCGUAUGGGCAUCGCACGCUCAUGCCGACUGCACGUAGGCCCUAAGCGCAUAGGGCCUGUCCGUAUAGACCUGCAGCGUAGACGACGUGCACACAGGUGCAGCGCUAGUCCGUGUAUGAAGUGACGCGCGGACAGUCCACCUGCAAGCGAUAGGACACGAGCGCAGGUCUUGACCUCGCGCCAUGUGCACGGACAGGACGUGCAUGCUGUGUGCACAUCCCGUGCU
This 476-nucleotide long non-coding RNA is filed under the name Carica papaya (papaya). RNAcentral's name for it is "long non-coding RNA (CPAP_LNC004311)". Lineage: Eukaryota; Viridiplantae; Streptophyta; Magnoliopsida; Brassicales; Caricaceae. The record is from RNAcentral.